GUUGCUCCAUGUUCAU
This 16-nucleotide small RNA is filed under the name Arabidopsis thaliana (thale cress). RNAcentral describes it as "ATSL136810". The record is from RNAcentral. Lineage: Eukaryota; Viridiplantae; Streptophyta; Magnoliopsida; Brassicales; Brassicaceae.